RNAcentral lists this ribosomal RNA (377 nucleotides) under uncultured bacterium. RNAcentral's name for it is "bacterial SSU rRNA". It matches the Rfam family "Bacterial small subunit ribosomal RNA", at positions 523 to 898 of the family's 1533-position model. The record is from RNAcentral.
AUACGAGGGUGGCAAGCGUUAUCCGGAAUUAUUGGGCGUAAAGCGUCUGUAGGCGAUCUGACAAGUUUUCUGUGAAAUUCCAAUGCUCAACAUUGGAGCUGCAGAAAAUACUGUCAGAAUUGAGGAAGAUAGAGGUAAGUGGAAUUCCCGGUGUAGUAGUGAAAUGCGUUAAUAUCGGGAGGAACACCUAUAGCGAAGGCAGCUUACUGGAUCUUUCCUGACGCUCAGAGACGAAAGCGUGGGUAGCGAAUGGGAUUAGAUACCCCAGUAGUCCACGCCGUAAACGAUGGAUAUUAGGCAUAGGGAGAGUCGACCCUUUCUGUGCCGAAGCUAACGCGAUAAAUAUCCCGCCUGGGAAGUACGGCCGCAAGGCUAAA